RNAcentral lists this ribosomal RNA (281 nucleotides) under uncultured bacterium. RNAcentral's name for it is "partial 16S ribosomal RNA". It matches the Rfam family "Bacterial small subunit ribosomal RNA", at positions 77 to 354 of the family's 1533-position model. The record is from RNAcentral.
CAAUACUCCCGCCGGCGACCGGCGCACGGGUGAGUAACACGUAUGAAACCUGCCCGUAGCAGGGGGAUAAGCGGAAGAAAUUCCGUCUAAUACCGCGUAACAACCCGAGGAGGCAUCUCCUCGGGUUUAAAGGAAGCGAUUCCGGCUACGGAUGGUCAUGCGUCGCAUUAGCUAGUUGGCGGGGUAACGGCCCACCAAGGCGACGAUGCGUAGGGGUUCUGAGAGGAAGGUCCCCCACACUGGUACUGAGACACGGUCCAAACUCCUACGGGAGGCAGCAG